RNAcentral lists this ribosomal RNA (1035 nucleotides) under Triticum aestivum (bread wheat). RNAcentral describes it as "partial small subunit ribosomal RNA". Lineage: Eukaryota; Viridiplantae; Streptophyta; Magnoliopsida; Poales; Poaceae. The record is from RNAcentral.
AUGGCCGGCGGCGACCUGCGCAGCCUGGCGGCGGUCUCGGCCGCGGUGACCGCGGCCAUGUGCUACGUCCGUUUCGCCGCCGGGCGCCUCCGCCCGGGCCUGCCCCGCCUCGCCGCGUUCCUCCCGGUGCUCGCCGCCCUCCUGUUCCUCCCCUUCGCCUUCCGCGCCAUCCACCCGCGCGCCAUCUCCGGGUUCUUCCUCGCCUGGCUCGCCGAGUUCAAGCUCCUCCGCCUCGCCGCCGGGCAGGGCCCCCUCCACCCGUCCCUCCCGUUGCCCGCCUUCGUCGCCGUCGCCUCCGGCCCCGUCAGGCUCCGCGGCGACGGGCCCGACAAGGCUCAAGGCACGUCGUCGGGCCUGGACCUCGCCUCCUCCGCCGUCAUGGCCGCGCUGCUCGCCGUCAUCGUGUCGCUGUACCGGUACCAGGAGGUGAUGAACCAGUACGUCCUGCUCACACUCUACGCGUUCCACGUGUACUUGGCCCUGGAGCUGGUCCUGGCGUCGGCGGCCGCGGCGGCGCGCGCGCUGCUGGGCAUGGAUCUGGAGCCGCAGUUCGACCGGCCGUACCUGUCGGCGUCGCUGCGGGACUUCUGGGGCCGGCGCUGGAACCUGUCGGUGCCCGCCGUGCUCCGGCCGUGCGUGUACCGCCCCGUGCGCGCGCGCCUGGGCCAGCCCGCGGGGGUGCUCGCGACGUUCCUGGUGUCCGGGCUGGUGCACGAGCUCAUGUUCUACUACAUCACGCUGCGGCCGCCCACCGGGGAGGCGACGGCAUUCUUCGCGCUGCACGGCGCGUGCGCGGUGGCGGAGGCGUGGUGGGCGAGGCACGAGGCGUGGUGGCGCCCGCCGCGGCUGGUGGCCACCCCGCUGACGCUGGCGUUCGUGCUCGUGACGGCCUUCUGGCUCUUCUUCCCGCCGAUCACGAGGCCCGGGGCAGACAAGCUGGUGAUCGCCGAGUGCGAGGCGGCCGUCGCGUUCGUGCGGGACGCCGGGGCCUGGGCGGCCGGCUCCGUCCGGUCGGUCUGGACUGGGCGCUCGUAG